This is an RNA transcript of Lycium ferocissimum, 1641 nucleotides long. It is a transcript of the gene named probable sodium/metabolite cotransporter BASS4, chloroplastic, with no coding region annotated. Lineage: Eukaryota; Viridiplantae; Streptophyta; Magnoliopsida; Solanales; Solanaceae. The record is from RefSeq and is a predicted model, not a curated record. The transcript is spliced from 14 exons.
AAAAUUUCAAACAAAUUGGGACGGAGGAGUAUAAGGCAGUUAAGAGUGAACAAUUUAGCCAAACACCAUCGGUAACCAUUUGACCUGACCAUACUCCCAAUCAUCAGUUGAGUGUAGCGUUUGAGUUGACUCACAGCAAAAUGGCGGGGAUUGGGACACUCCAAAUUCUAUUCCUCAACCCUCCAACCAACGCAAAUUCACUGUCCCGCUGCGGGCGUACGAACCACUUCCCAUUUUGCUCUUCGAAAAUUAGCAACAGGUGGCGUCUUGUUUCGAAACUCAGUUUAUCUGUUAGAGCCACUUCACAACAACAUUCUAACAAGGGAAAUGGUAGUGGAGACCAUCUUCCACGGGCUACUGCAAAGACCUCUAAUUGGGUAAAACCAAUUUCGAGUUUUGUAUCCAACAAUUUUCUGCCUUUAGCUUUAAUUGGUGGAGUAGCAUUAGGGUUUGCUAAUCCUGCACUUGGUUGUCUUGCUGAUAGAUAUUACCUGUCCAAAAUUAGUACCUUUGGCAUAUUUAUAGUCUCAGGGCUCACAUUGCGUAGUGAUGAAGUAGGUGCUGCUGCUGAAGCUUGGCCUGUUGGGCUUUUUGGUCUUGUUUCUAUUUUGUUCUUCACUCCUCUUUUUUCCAAGAUUAUUUUGCUGCUAAAGCUUCAACCUCAAGAAUUUGUGACAGGGUUGGCCAUAUUUAGCUGUAUGCCCACAACACUAUCUAGUGCAGUGGCACUAACUCGGUUAGCUGGAGGAAACUCUGCUCUUGCUCUGGCGACGACUUUAAUAUCAAACCUUCUAGGAAUUGUGAUUGUACCUUUUACGAUCUCCAAGCUCAUAGCUGCCGGGGUUGGUGUGUCUGUCCCAGCUGAGCAGUUGUUCAGAAGCCUUGUUCUCACACUUCUAGUUCCUCUUAUCAUAGGGAAGGUUUUACGAGAAUGUUUCAAGGGCGUGGCUGAGUUUUCUGAUGGAAAUCGUAAGCUUUUAUCAAUGAUGAGUGCUCUCCUCCUAAGUUUAGCCCCUUUUAUACAAGUGAGCAGAUCGAGGUCGCUGCUUUUAUUGGUUAAGCCAGCAGUAUUUCUUCUGGCUGUUGUGUUAGGAGUGCUUCUGCAUCUCAUCCUCUUGGCUUUUAAUGCUCUGGCAAUACCAUUACUCUCCGCUAUUUCAGGGGGUAGUGAAUCAUCUUUUUCAAAGAAGCAAAAUACUAGUGCUCUUUUACUUGUUGCGAGCCAGCGCCCUAAUUUCCUUCAUUUUGUUACAAGAAAACUCUGCCUGUAAUGGUAGCAGUAGUGGAACAGCUUGGUGGUGCUCUUGGUGAAUCUGGUUUACUGGUUCUUCCAUGCAUAGCGGCACAUUUGAACCAGAUUAUAUUGGACUCUUUUUUGGUGAGCGUUUGGUUUCAAAAAAAGCAUGAUUUGAAGACUGCUUAAAAUCAUCUGGAGUUCCUAGAUGGUUUGUGCUGCACAUUGAAAUAUUUUGCUGCUUUCAGGAAGGAAUAGUUCACAUUGUCAGUCGAUGAUUAUUCAAGCUGAAAGUAAAGUUUUUCUUUUUUCACCACAUUAGCGAACAGUAGGGGUGUACAUGGAUCGGGUUGGUUCGGAAAUUUUAAACACCAAACUAAAUCAAUUGCAUUGGAUUUUUAAAUUUA